AAUUAACAGAUAUUCUUGCUUUGUAACUUAUGAUGGAUGCAAGAUCCGAUAGAUUCACUCUUCCUUCUGUUGUUAAAAAAAUUCCUAAUGCUCCUUCUAUCUUCCAAGUUGCAUUUGGUCUGCAAAAUUUUAGCGCCGAUAUUGUUAGUUUCAAGAUGAUGAAAAUCUUGCAACAAGAUGAAUCAAAGCCGACCAAUUUGCAGCGAUGUUUCGGUGCUGGACCUUCAUCAAAGCUUCCUAAAGAGGUUGUUAUAUCAACUCCUGAAAAAUAUGUGCCCACCAAACUCUUUAAGACAUCUUUAUCUACAAAAAAGUAAGAUAAUCUCGCUAUUCACCCUUUUACAUUAAGAUAUCGACAUACAUUUCCCUCAUUCACACGAAAGCAACAAAGAAAUUUAUGAUGGAAUUGCCGCUUCGGUGACAUCAAUGACCAUAACAUCGAUAAAAUUGAGGAAAUUGAGAUAUCGAAGAUCUACCGGUAAUAAUCGAACUUGGUGUCCAAGCUUUUGAUGAUAAAGCCAACAUCUCUCUUUCUACUAUUAUUUGCACCGAUCGAAGCUGACCAUGGGGUGAACGAGGACGAAAUCGAUGUCUUAAAACGCCUGGGUUCACCACAACA
This 619-nucleotide long non-coding RNA is filed under the name Phoenix dactylifera (date palm). Its description in RNAcentral is "long non-coding RNA (PDAC_LNC018629)". The record is from RNAcentral. Lineage: Eukaryota; Viridiplantae; Streptophyta; Magnoliopsida; Arecales; Arecaceae.